Mastomys coucha (southern multimammate mouse) is the source of this 411-nucleotide long non-coding RNA. RefSeq lists it as uncharacterized. NCBI's taxonomy places the organism in Eukaryota, Metazoa, Chordata, Mammalia, Rodentia, Muridae. The transcript has 2 exons. The record is from RefSeq and is a predicted model, not a curated record.
GCUCUGGCAUUCAUUGCCUGGUAUGUAGUGAGCAUGAGCAUUUUACAAAUAUAUUUUUGACACAGUUUUUCCUGGUGGUGAAGAUGAAGUAGGUACUGUGUGAAAACUCACUCUAGCAACUGUCCUCUCCGACAUCUUCAGAGUCCAAGUUCUAAACUUUCCUCAACAACUUGAUUUUUAUUAAAUACUUCAUCUGGUGUUUCCUUCAGAGUAUCUACAAAAUAACCAAAUAAUUUUCCUACAGAUAUUUGGCCCAGUCUCACUAGUCUUAACUGAACUUUCUCUCACAUGCUUGUGGCUGUUGUGAUUUUCUUCACUGACAGAAAAGUAAAUGUUUAUGUGUUCAUUCUAAGUCACUGUCUGAACAUUAAUCCUGGUCAAGGAAUUUAAGCUGUUAAACCCGAUAAAAAA